RNAcentral lists this transfer RNA (74 nucleotides) under Actinia tenebrosa (Australian red waratah sea anemone). RNAcentral's name for it is "tRNA-Arg". It matches the Rfam family "tRNA". Rfam says of the family: Transfer RNA (tRNA) molecules are approximately 80 nucleotides in length. Their secondary structure includes four short double-helical elements and three loops (D, anti-codon, and T loops). The record is from Rfam by way of RNAcentral. Lineage: Eukaryota; Metazoa; Cnidaria; Anthozoa; Actiniaria; Actiniidae.
GUCUCCGUGGCGCAAUGGAUUAGCGCGUUGGACUUCUAAUUCAAAGGUUGUGGGUUCGAGUCCCACCGGAGGUG